CAAAAUGAAGACGAGUCAAGCUUUAGCAACAUUUCUCGUUGUGAUCGCUUUUUUUAUUCUUACAUCAGGUAUAUUCUUGCUAAGCUAAUUUUCUUCUUUUUAUACCAACAUGUUAAUAAUUUCCACGUAGCAAUUUAAAAAUGAUGAUACAUGAGUAAAAAACAACCUCCUCCGUUUCGUUUGUCAUCCAAAAGUUAAAGUUGGCAAGUUUUUGGAUAUUCUUUUUUGCCCAUCUAAAAUUAAAAAAUUUAUCCGCGGUAGAGAGAUUAUUAUGUAGCUAUAUGUAGGGAAAACACAUAAGUUUCCCCGUAAACUUGUUCGAAAAAAUUAUUUACAUAUUUAAACUUUAAUAACAAGUUAUUUUUAUAUGUGCAGAAAAUGAAAUGCGUUCAGUUGAAGGUAUUGAAACAGGGAUUUGUGAAAGAUUUGUCCUAGGGGUUAUUUGUCCUCCAGAAAAUGAUUCAAGAAUAUGCCUAACAGAGUGCACUAACAUAUCCAGAGGUCAUAAACCCAUUAAUCAUUCUUGCUUAGAAGGCAAAGAUUCAUCUUUCUGCUUUUGUCAGUGGCUAUCAGAUUUAUGUUAAUGGAGAUCUUCUAAUCCAUCAAACGUUUAUUAUUCUCGAUCAACACUUAAGUACACCAA
This 643-nucleotide long non-coding RNA is filed under the name Nicotiana benthamiana. Its description in RNAcentral is "long non-coding RNA (NBEN_LNC025149)". Lineage: Eukaryota; Viridiplantae; Streptophyta; Magnoliopsida; Solanales; Solanaceae. The record is from RNAcentral.